RNAcentral lists this ribosomal RNA (450 nucleotides) under uncultured Sphingobacteriales bacterium. RNAcentral describes it as "bacterial SSU rRNA". It matches the Rfam family "Bacterial small subunit ribosomal RNA", at positions 927 to 1382 of the family's 1533-position model. Lineage: Bacteria; Pseudomonadati; Bacteroidota; Sphingobacteriia; Sphingobacteriales. The record is from RNAcentral.
AAGCGGAGGAACAUGUGGUUUAAUUCGAUGAUACGCGAGGAACCUUACCUGGCUUAAAUGGGAGUGACAGCUGUCGAAAGAUGGUUUUCUUCGGACACUCUUCAAGGUGCUGCAUGGUUGUCGUCAGCUCGUGCCGUGAGGUGUCGGGUUAAGUCCCAUAACGAGCGCAACCCUUACCGUUAGUUACCAUCAGGUUAAGCUGGGGACUCUAGCGGGACUGCCACCGUAAGGUGAGAGGAAGUGGGGAUGACGUCAAAUCAGCACGGCCCUUAUGUCCAGGGCUACACACGUGUUACAAUGGCCAGUACAAAGGGCAGCUACCGGGUGACCGGAUGCUAAUCUCUAAAGCUGGUCUCAGUUCGGAUCGAAGUCUGCAACCCGACUUCGUGAAGCUGGAUUCGCUAGUAAUCGCGCAUCAGCCAUGGCGCGGUGAAUACGUUCCCGGGCCUU